CAGCAGCCACGGUAAUACCGAGGGUGCGAGCGUUAAUCGGAUUUACUGGGCGUAAAGCGUGCGUAGGCGGCUUCUUAAGUCGGAUGUGAAAUCCCUGAGCUUAACUUAGGAAUUGCAUUCGAUACUGGGAAGCUAGAGUAUGGGAGAGGAUGGUAGAAUUCCAGGUGUAGCGGUGAAAUGCGUAGAGAUCUGGAGGAAUACCGAUGGCGAAGGCAGCCAUCUGGCCUAAUACUGACGCUGAGGUACGAAAGCAUGGGGAGCAAACAGGAUUAGAUACCCCUGUAGUCCCUGUCUCUUUACA
This 301-nucleotide ribosomal RNA is filed under the name uncultured bacterium. RNAcentral describes it as "partial 16S ribosomal RNA". It matches the Rfam family "Bacterial small subunit ribosomal RNA", at positions 509 to 808 of the family's 1533-position model. The record is from RNAcentral.